This 1158-nucleotide non-coding RNA is filed under the name Drosophila sechellia. RNAcentral describes it as "Eukaryotic large subunit ribosomal RNA". It matches the Rfam family "Eukaryotic large subunit ribosomal RNA", at positions 772 to 1801 of the family's 3401-position model. Lineage: Eukaryota; Metazoa; Arthropoda; Insecta; Diptera; Drosophilidae. The record is from Rfam by way of RNAcentral.
AUUUAUAUUAUUUAUGCCUCUAACUGGAACGUACCUUGAGCAUAUAUGCUGUGACCCGAAAGAUGGUGAACUAUACUUGAUCAGGUUGAAGUCAGGGGAAACCCUGAUGGAAGACCGAAACAGUUCUGACGUGCAAAUCGAUUGUCAGAAUUGAGUAUAGGGGCGAAAGACCAAUCGAACCAUCUAGUAGCUGGUUCCUUCCGAAGUUUCCCUCAGGAUAGCUGGUGCAUUUUAAUAUUAUAUAAAAUAAUCUUAUCUGGUAAAGCGAAUGAUUAGAGGCCUUAGGGUCGAAACGAUCUUAACCCUAUUCUCAAACUUUAAAUGGGUAAGGAACCAUAACUUUCUUGAUAUGAAGAUCACGGUUAUGAUAUAAUGUGCCCAGUGGGGCCACUUUUGGUAAGCAGAACUGGCGCUGUGGGAUGAACCAAACGUAAUGUUACGGUGCCCAAAUUAACAACUCAUGCAGAUACCAUGAAAGGCGUUGGUUGCUUAAAACAGCAGGACGGUGAUCAUGGAAGUCGAAAUCCGCUAAGGAGUGUGUAACAACUCACCUGCCGAAGCAACUAGCCCUUAAAAUGGAUGGCGCUUAAGUUGUAUACCUAUACAUUACCGCUAAAGUAGAUGAUUUAUAUUACUUGUGAUAUAAAUUUUGAAACUUUAGUGAGUAGGAAGGUACAAUGGUAUGCGUAGAAGUGUUUGGCGUAAGCCUGCAUGGAGCUGCCAUUGGUACAGAUCUUGGUGGUAGUAGCAAAUAAUCGAAUGAGACCUUGGAGGACUGAAGUGGAGAAGGGUUUCGUGUGAACAGUGGUUGAUCACGAGUUAGUCGGUCCUAAGUCCAAGGCGAAAGCCGAAAAUUUUCAAGUAAAACAAAAAUGCCUAACUAUAUAAACAAAGCGAAUAUAAUACACUUGAAUAAUUUUGAACGAAAGGGAAUACGGUUCCAAUUCCGUAACCUGUUGAGUAUCCGUUUGUUAUUAAAUAUGGGCCUCGUGCUCAUCCUGGCAACAGGAACGACCAUAAAGAAGCCGUCGAGAGAUAUCGGAAGAGUUUUCUUUUCUGUUUUAUAGCCGUACUACCAUGGAAGUCUUUCGCAGAGAGAUAUGGUAGAUGGGCUAGAAGAGCAUGACAUAUACUGUUGUGUCGAUAUUUUCUCCUCGG